UCCCUGGUGGACCAGUGGCUAAGACUCCACACUCCCAAUGCAGGGAAUCCAGGUUCAAUUCCUGGUCAGGGAA
RNAcentral lists this transfer RNA (73 nucleotides) under Muntiacus reevesi (Reeves' muntjac). It matches the Rfam family "tRNA". Rfam says of the family: Transfer RNA (tRNA) molecules are approximately 80 nucleotides in length. Their secondary structure includes four short double-helical elements and three loops (D, anti-codon, and T loops). The record is from Rfam by way of RNAcentral. RNAcentral also lists the same sequence under 7 other names. Lineage: Eukaryota; Metazoa; Chordata; Mammalia; Artiodactyla; Cervidae.